GGCGUGGCUUCCGGAGCUAACGCGUUAAAUCGACCGCCUGGGGAGUACGGCCGCAAGGUUAAAACUCAAAUGAAUUGACGGGGGCCCGCACAAGCGGUGGAGCAUGUGGUUUAAUUCGAUGCAACGCGAAGAACCUUACCUGGUCUUGACAUCCACAGAACUUUCCAGAGAUGGAUUGGUGCCUUCGGGAACUGUGAGACAGGUGCUGCAUGGCUGUCGUCAGCUCGUGUUGUGAAAUGUUGGGUUAAGUCCCGCAACGAGCGCAACCCUUAUCCUUUGUUGCCAGCGGUCCGGCCGGGAACUCAAAGGAGACUGCCAGUGAUAAACUGGAGGAAGGUGGGGAUGACGUCAAGUCAUCAUGGCCCUUACGACCAGGGCUACACACGUGCUACAAUGGCGCAUACAAAGAGAAGCGACCUCGCGAGAGCAAGCGGACCUCAUAAAGUGCGUCGUAGUCCGGAUUGGAGUCUGCAACUCGACUCCAUGAAGUCGGAAUCGCUAGUAAUCGUAGAUCAGAAUGCUACGGUGAAUACGUUCCCGGGCCUUGUACACACCGCCCGUCACACCAUGGGAGUGGGUUGCAAAAGAAGUAGGUAGCUUAACCUUCGGGAGGGCGCUUACCACUUUGUGAUUCAUGACUGGGG
RNAcentral lists this ribosomal RNA (644 nucleotides) under bacterium IRQ_02. RNAcentral's name for it is "bacterial SSU rRNA". It matches the Rfam family "Bacterial small subunit ribosomal RNA", at positions 836 to 1480 of the family's 1533-position model. The record is from RNAcentral.